AUGCUACACAGCCCCACCACGCCAGAAUCCUCCACGAUCAACGCCGCCAUCACGCCACGAACCUCGCCUCGGCCAGCCGUCCUCGACCUGCCUUGCUUCCCUACCUCUCCUCGCCCCGCCGUCCUCGACCUGCCUUGCUUUCCUACCUCUCCUCGCCACGCCGCCCUCGCCCUGUCCGCGACGUCCUCGACCCGCCUUGCUUCCCUACCUCUCCUCGCCCCGCCGUCCUUGCCACGCCGCCCUCGCCCUGUCUGCGACGUCCUCGACACGGUGGACGUCCUCAACCCGGCGCGCUACCAUGCCUGCGGUGUCAUCACCCCGUGUGGGCAGCACCAUCUCGACCUGCAGGGCCACAUGUUAGAUCAAUAUAUCAUGAACAAGCUGAGUUUGGAGAGGUUUUCGACAGGUUUUGACACUUUGGAGAGACCCAGUGCGCAGUCUGCUGUCACCCAGCAACGACUCACACCAGCUGCGGAAGGCAUACCUGUUCAUGUGAUAAUGAGUGAUCAGACUCCACCUCAUGGUCCAAAUUCAUUAAGAACACCAGAUACCGCCGUUUCUAAUAAGGAAAAUGUCAAUAAUAUCGACUCUGCCAUUUGCUCCUCCCAACUGACUAUGUUACCACCGCCACUUCAAUCCUACAGAGGCACCAAUUCAUAUGCUGAUGAAGAUUGUGAUUGGCUACACACAAAUGAUGCAUACCAGAGACAAGACUUUGGAAGGAGGAUGCUGCCAGACAACAUACUCACUGGGCCAUCAUGUGGACACAAUCCCGUCGACAAAUAUAAUGGAAAUGACCACGAAGAUGAUGCAUAUGGAAUACUGGAGCCCGAUGGCAACACAAACAACAUUGAUGACUGCUUGGGAGACGGAAACCAAGUAGAAGCUGAAUACCUUGAGCCUGAUGAAGAGGCUAGGAUGUUCUCCCACCAAGGUGUUGAAUUUGAAUCCUACCGAGUUGAACGAUGUCACACUGAUGGAACAAACACAAAUGAUCCUCAUGAUAGGGUUUACAUUAACCUUCCCAGAAAUCACCACGUCCUUAGGAAAGUUAGGGACUGCCUCCACUGUGGAGCAUUGCGGUUUCAAUAUGAGGGACCUGCAUUUUGUUGCAGAAAGGGGAAAGUAGGUUUAUUUACACCCGAGGUUCCGGACGAAUUGAAACGGCUGUUCACAAGUCAAUGUGAUGACGAUGGAACCGGCGUAUAUACCUUCCGUGCAUGUGGGGGGUUGUACCACGCUCUUGAUGAUCUGGUGCCAGCUGAUAAUGGCCCUAGGGAUUUGAAGCUCUAUAUUUAUGAUACAGAUCAUAACUUGGUGCACAGGGCUAAGAGGUCUCCAGAUCUAAAUAUAGAUCUCAUACGGAAAAUUCUGCUAAUACUAGAGCCGAACCCUUAUGCGCAGGCUUUCAAGAGCCUUGGGUCUAUUCCGAAUCUAGAUGAGUACAAGAUCUCACUCAACACAGAUAUCAAGUUGGAUCAGCGUAGGUACAAUGCCCCAACGACUUCUCAGGUGGCAGCAAUAUGGGUUGAGGGGAGCAACCCACAAAAUUGUUUUGACAGGAGUGUUGUCGUGCAUGGCAAAAAAGAGACUGACCCCUGUAUAUUAGAGCCUACUAUGGGUGCUAUGACCCAUUGUCAUAUCCACUAUUUCUCCCACGUGGGGAGACUGCUUGGAAUCGCUGGAUGCCGUAUGUUCAGGCCCCCGAUGACACCACCCAAGAUCUUGCGCAUAAUUCUGGACCGCAAGAAAACCGGGCCUCUCAACUACAUACAUGUAUUAUGUUCAUUACUAAUGUGUUAA
RNAcentral lists this ribosomal RNA (1803 nucleotides) under Triticum aestivum (bread wheat). Its description in RNAcentral is "partial small subunit ribosomal RNA". Lineage: Eukaryota; Viridiplantae; Streptophyta; Magnoliopsida; Poales; Poaceae. The record is from RNAcentral.